UAUAAGGGAUUUUGAGUUUUUUCUUGCAACAUUUGACCACUCGUCUUAUUCAAAAAAUUUUAAAAUUAUUAUUUAUUUUAUCUGUGACUUACUUUAUUAUCUACAAUACUUUAAGCAUAACUUUUUAUUUUUUAUAUUUAUAAAAAUAAUUUAAAUAAAACAAGCGGUCAAACGUUGCAAGCCAAAUCUCAACGAAGGGAGUAGA
RNAcentral lists this microRNA precursor (205 nucleotides) under Oryza barthii. Its description in RNAcentral is "MIR812 microRNA precursor family". It matches the Rfam family "MIR812 microRNA precursor family". The record is from Rfam by way of RNAcentral. Lineage: Eukaryota; Viridiplantae; Streptophyta; Magnoliopsida; Poales; Poaceae.